GAAGCAGCUCAAGCGGUCGCCGGAGCGCUAAGCGCUCGGAGGAAAGUCCGAACACCACAGGGCAGGGUGCUCCAUAACGUGGAGUCGCGGCAACGCGAAGGAAAGUGCAACAGAAAGGAUACCGCCCGGUAUCGACCCUUUGGGUGGGACCGGGUAAGGGUGAAACGGUGCGGUAAGAGCGCACCAGUUCCCCGGGUGACCGGGGAAGCUUUGUAAACCCCACCCGGUGCAAGACCAAAUAGGGGAACGCUUGAGGGUGGCCCGCCCGAGUUCCCGGGUAGGUUGCAAGAGGAACCGGGGAACCGGUUCCAUCAGAUGAAUGACCGCUGCCCGGUUCGCGGCAACCCGAAUCGGGAACAGAAUUCGGCUUAUGGGCUGCUUCGGCC
This 386-nucleotide RNase P RNA is filed under the name Deltaproteobacteria bacterium. RNAcentral's name for it is "RNase P RNA component class A". It matches the Rfam family "Bacterial RNase P class A". From Rfam's summary of the family: Ribonuclease P (RNase P) is a ubiquitous endoribonuclease, found in archaea, bacteria and eukarya as well as chloroplasts and mitochondria. Its best characterised activity is the generation of mature 5'-ends of tRNAs by cleaving the 5'-leader elements of precursor-tRNAs. Lineage: Bacteria; Pseudomonadati; Myxococcota; Myxococcia. The record is from RNAcentral.